RNA transcript from Nycticebus coucang (slow loris), 572 nucleotides. It is a transcript of the gene named 40S ribosomal protein S11-like, with no coding region annotated. NCBI's taxonomy places the organism in Eukaryota, Metazoa, Chordata, Mammalia, Primates, Lorisidae. The record is from RefSeq and is a predicted model, not a curated record. The transcript has a single exon.
AUGGCAGACGUUCACACUGAGCCAGCCUACCAAAAGCAGCUGACCAUCUUUCAAAACAAGAAGAGAGUCCUGUUGGGAGAAACUGGCAAGGAGAAGCUCCCUCGGUAAUACAAGAACAUAGGUCUGGGUUUCAAGACUCACAAAGAGGCCAUUGAGGGCACCUACAUUGACAAGAAAUGCCCCUUCACUGGUAACAUCUCCAUCCGAGGGCGGAUCUUGUGCGGUGUGGUGACCAAGAUGAAGAUGCAGAGGACCAGUGUCAUCUGCCGAGACUAUCUCCACUCCAUCCACAAGUACGAUUGCUUUGAAAAGAGCCACAAGUACAAUCACUUUGAGAAGAACAUGUCUGUGCACCUGUCCCCCUACUUCAGGGAUGUCCAGAUUGGUGAUAUUGUCACAGUGGGCGAAUGCCAGCCCCUGAGCAAGAAGGUGUGCUUCAACCUGCUCAAAGUCACCAAGGCUACUAGCACCAAGAAGCAGUUCCAGAAGUUCUGAGACUGGAUAUGUGCCCACGCCCCCAAACGAAAUAAAGUUAUUUUUUUAUUAAAAAAAAAAAAAAACUAGCUAGAAAA